Molecule: ribosomal RNA, 446 nt
Filed under: uncultured bacterium
Lineage: Bacteria
Description: partial 16S ribosomal RNA
Rfam family: Bacterial small subunit ribosomal RNA
Source: RNAcentral
CCUACGGGGGGCAGCAGUCGAGAAUCAUUCACAAUGGGGGAAACCCUGAUGGUGCGACGCCGCGUGGGGGAAUGAAGGUCUUCGGAUUGUAAACCCCUGUCAUGUGGGAGCAAAUUAAAAAGAUAGUACCACAAGAGGAAGAGACGGCUAACUCUGUGCCAGCAGCCGCGGUAAUACAGAGGUCUCAAGCGUUGUUCGGAAUCACUGGGCGUAAAGCGUGCGUAGGCUGUUUCGUAAGUCGUGUGUGAAAGGCGCGGGCUCAACCCGCGGACGGCACAUGAUACUGCGAGACUAGAGUAAGGGAGGGGGAACCGGAAGUCUCGGUGUAGCAGUGAAAUGCGUAGAUAUCGAGAGGAACACUCGUGGCGAAGGCGGGUUCCUGGACAUUAACUGACGCUGAGGCACGAAGGCCAGGGGAGCGAAAGGGAUUAGAUACCCCUGUAGUC